Molecule: unclassified non-coding RNA, 419 nt
Filed under: uncultured bacterium
Lineage: Bacteria
Description: partial contains ITS between 16S rRNA and 23S rRNA
Rfam family: tRNA (bases 112-185)
Source: RNAcentral
UCGGAAGGUGCGGCUGGAUCACCUCCUUUCUAAGGAAAACGUCCCUUACGGGACAUGCCCAUCGUUCAGUUUUGAGAGUCCGAUCUCUCAAUUGAGCAACCCAUUUUGAAUGGGCCUAUAGCUCAGCUGGUUAGAGCGCACGCCUGAUAAGCGUGAGGUCGGUGGUUCGAGUCCACUUAGGCCCACCAUUCAAUUUUAUAAUCUCAUGGGGCCUUAGCUCAGCUGGGAGAGCGCCUGCCUUGCACGCAGGAGGUCAGCGGUUCGAUCCCGCUAGGCUCCAUUUGUCUUUUCCUAACGGAGAAGGCACUCGCACCUUGAAAACUGAAGACAUCAACAAGACAUCAAACUUUUUAUAACCAUGUCAUUAGACGUGUGUUCUUAGAAUACCAAAAUGCUAGAUCAAGGUAUGAAGGGCGUAC